GCAGCGAAGAGUAUAUAAAAGUAGGGCAAGGAGGAUUCCCAGAACAGAUGCCCAAAGUAAACUUGGCUCCGAGAGGUAUAUUUGAGCUGGACUUUUGUGAAGCAGUCAGAAGGAACCUCGCUCUUGCUUCAAGCAGACACUCACUCAGCCACACGGUUGUUGUGAUUUUAUUUAUUUAAGACGCUGGAAAGAGUGAAAUAGAAGCAACAACAACAAAAACUACUCCUACUACUACUACCACUACCACUACUACUACUACUACUACUACUACUACUACUUCUCAAGAUGGGGAACAUAGUCGUCUCGGAGGAGGACACAAAAACCAACGAGAAGAAAACGUACAACAUCGACAUGAGAAACAGCACCAUCACACUCCAUUACCACGAAGCACCGCGAAAUUCCUCAAGACGUUCAAUCAACCCCAACUUCUCCCCACAAAUAGAACUCCGCCCGCCACUAAUGCUAGGAACAACACAACAACUGACACUGCCCUCCGCUAAACGAUAUUCAUAACAACCACAACCGUCAUCACCACGAGAGAGAGAGAGAGAGAGAGAGAGAGAGAGAGAGAGAGAGAGAGAGAGAGAUGAAGGUAAAAUUAAUAUACUGAGAACUAGAAAAGGAGGGAAAAAAAAAAUGAUGAGAGAGAGAGAGAGAGAGAGAGAGAGAGAGAGAGAGAGAGAGAGAGAGAGAGAGAGAGAGAGAGAGAGAGAGAGAGAGAGAGAGAGAGAGAGAGAGAGAGAGAGAGAGAGA
Molecule: long non-coding RNA, 753 nt
Organism: Eriocheir sinensis (Chinese mitten crab)
Lineage: Eukaryota; Metazoa; Arthropoda; Malacostraca; Decapoda; Varunidae
Exons: 2
Source: RefSeq, a predicted model, not a curated record